RNAcentral lists this long non-coding RNA (247 nucleotides) under Ananas comosus (pineapple). RNAcentral's name for it is "long non-coding RNA (ACOM_LNC028312)". Lineage: Eukaryota; Viridiplantae; Streptophyta; Magnoliopsida; Poales; Bromeliaceae. The record is from RNAcentral.
UAAAAUUAUAGAUUUAUUGCUUAUAGUGUAGGAAUUGAAAAAAUAGAAUAGUUAAGUGGUGCCUUUGAAAAAACAGUACGUGUAGAAAGUGAAAAAAAAAAAUUGUGAACUAUAGUGUAAUAUAAUAUAAUUAGUGUAAAGCUACUAUACUUCUGGAAGUACAAAAGAGUUGGUGCUUCUGACUCUUUAGACAUUGGAUCAAGGAUUGUAGGGUUGAGAUGAUAGUGGUCUCCACUGGGGAUUAGUG